AUGUUUAUUUCUGAAGACAACUUCUUUGACAUUUUUCUGCGGAGUUUUAGGAAGUUGACAGGACCUCCGAAUAAAGGUUCAUCUGUUAGUUGGAACCUGGCAUCUUUAAUUUGCUGUGGGCUCUCAAGGCAAGGAAGACAAGCUACUACAAAUUACUUUACAUUUCAGCCAAAAUACUUCGAUGUCGUGAAAGAAUAUGUGGAAAUAAGAGCAUGGAGAAGCAGUUUAAACCUCAGGACUAUUUCAAUUCGAGAAAUGAUCUGUUCAACUUCCUUCACUUAAUCCACUACAUUUUUCUCUAUCUUUAACUUUUCUUAUUUCUUUCUUUCCUGUUUUAAUGGAAUUAAUAGCCUUUUUCCUACAAAGACAAACUUUUCAUAUUACUCUUUUCCCCUCUUUUUGUUUCAUAAAGUUUCAUAAAGUUGAAGAGUAAUCCAUGUUAAUUGAAUACAAAAUAAAAAGUAGCUGUUAACAGCAGUCUCUAUUUUAGCAAUAAUUGGCAAAUAUAAAAAUAAGGUAUAAAUCACAUUAGCAAGAAAAAGCAAAUAGUAUGUGGUAAUUAAAGAUGUGCAAGACCUUUAUGAAUAAAAAAAUUAAAACUCUAUUAGCGAAUACAAGGCAACCUGAUGUGCCGUUAGUGAAUGGAAUGAUUUUAACAUUUGUAAAGAUACCAAUUCUUUUUUGAUAAAUCAGGUCAUUUAAGCCAAUUCCAAAAAAAUCCAACAGGAUCUUUCUUCUUUUUAGUUUUAUUGAGAUAUAACUGACAUACAAGAUUGUAUUCAUUUUCAGUUUACAACUAACUUGGUAUGUGUAUAUAUUGCAAAAUGAUUACCGCAAUAAGUUUUGUCAACCUCUAUCACCUCACAUAGUUAUAUGUGAUGAUAACUUUUUCUCAUCUCUUUUGAUAACUUUUAAGAUCUACUUUUUCAGCAAUUUUCAAAUAUACGAUAGUAUUAAUAGCUUCAUGACUAUGCUGUACAUUACCUCCCAGAACUUAUUUAUCUUAUAAUUGGAAGUUUUUACCUUCUGACUGCCUUCAUUGCACCCUCCCCAUCCUCUUAAUGGAAUCUUUUUAAGCACUCAGCACUGAUUCUAGAAUUUUCAUGCAAGUAUGAAAUAAAAAAUAGCAAAUAAUAACAAAUAAAAAUAAAAACAAAGGUAGUGGGAUUGUUCAGAACCACUCUUCAAUAUUAAAGCCUUUUACCAAGCAUCAUAUAGAAUAAUGUGAUAAGGGCCCAAGAACAGGAACACAGAGAAAAAGCCCAGUGCAACAAAAUAAGUAACACAGAACACACACACAUCCACAUACAUUUAUCUACCUAUCUAAUAUUCUGCAUAGCAAUGAUAGAGAUAGCAUCACCAACCAAUGAAAAAGGAUGUAUUUUUAGGAGAGAAUAAUGAGAAGAUUAGCUUAUUAUAUAGAAAAAAUAAAGUUAGAUUUCCACCUCAUACCAUAUAUAAUGGUGAGAUCAAUUACAAGACCAAACUAUAAGAUUAGUGGAAAAGCUAUAGGCAAAUAUUACAGUAACCUUGGAGUGGAAAAAAAACCCUCUUAAAUAUACUCCCCCCAGUAGAAGUCAUAAGGAUAAAGCUUGAUAUAUUUUAAUAAAGGGUUUCAUUUUAGUGAAGUAUUCAAUGGACAAAGUUGGUAAAGGAAUGAUGGAGAAGAAAAAAUUAAUGUUUAGAGAUCACACACACACACACACACACACACACAUGAAAAGUGGGCAAAGAUAAAAGAAGUCCAUUCACUAAAGGAGAAACAUAAACAGUUAACCAGUAUGUGAAGAGAUGACUAAACUCUUGGUAGUAAAAGAAAUCUAAAGAGAACAAAAGUAGCACAUUACAUUCACCAGCUUGGCAAAAAUUGUAAAGAAGGAUAUCAUUACUCGUCCCUCCCUGAAGUCAGCUGCUUCUGAGCAGGGCCCAGAGCCACUAAGACAUUUAUCUGGAUUUGCAAAUUUUGGUUCCUUAGCCCAAGUUAUGAGAGGUUCAGAAUUUGUUUCUGUUGUGGACGAGAAAAGAUCUCCCUUUAUUGGUGGCACCUUUUCCUUCAGAUAUCCAUUUUAUUUCUUCUAGUUAGUCCAUCAAUAAACAACUCCAUCAUGUGGAUCUAUGACCUGCUUUUAAAAAAUAGGAAGGAUAUUGUUAGCAAGGAUGUGGGGAAACAAAACUCUCAUGCAUAACUGGCAGGAGUAAAACUGGUCAUUUGUUUUGGAGAGAGAUUUGGCAGUGCUUAUAAAAAUUAAGUGUGUGCCUAGCCUAUGGUUUAACAAUCCUUUUUCUAGAUAUCUACCCCUAAAGAAUUCUUUCUCAGGUCCAUGUAAGGAUAUGUAAGAGAUUGUUCACUGAAAAAAAAUUUUUUUGUUAGUGGAGAGUUGAAGGCAAACUAGGUAUUCAUCAUUAAGAGAAUAGAGGAUAUGCCUACAAUGGUAUAUUAAGCAAUUAGAAGCUUUAAGAUUAAUGUACAUAUUGUAACACAGAUCUUAAGAACAUAGGAUUAAGUAAAAAAAAAGGCAGAAUGAGAUCUAUGGCAAAAUGUUUUGUAAAUUAAAAAAUAACACACGAAGUAACAAUACGCAUCUUUCGAGGAUACUUACAUAUGCAGUGACAUUGAUUCAAUACAUUAGAGAAAAGUUGGGAUAGGUAUGCAGAUAUCAGAAAAAAUAGGAGGUGUAACAGACUAUGAUGAUGUUGUGCCCUAAAAUGUAUGGCUAACUCAACUCUGCAUCUCUGAAGAAAUACACAUGUUCAUUCACACAAAGAAAAUUUAUUCAUUGGACAAAUACUUAUUGAGCACCUGCUGGAAGUGAAAGAAAACAUACCACCCAGAUCUCAGCAUACAGAAAAAACCAUUCUUGACAUUUUGUACAAUAGUGCUUUUUUCCCCUCCUCCUUUUUCUAUUUCUGAAUCUUUGACUAACAAAAAUUAAGCUUUUCUGUGGAAACACAUUUCUCCCUUUGAGCGAUAUCUUUCCCAAUGCUACAAAACCUGAUUUUUGCCCAUCCUAAAAAUAGCCCGUUCUCUUGACCAUCAUCAUCUGUCUUUCUAUUUCUGGUGUCAAGACAUCUUCAAAUAGAUAACCAAACUUACCUUCACAUUUACUGCUCAAUGUAGAAUGAUUACUAUUUUUUUUCCCACCCUUAUCUUAGAGCUGUUUUCUCAAAGGUAACCAAUGGUUUCUUAAUUUUAAUCAAGUGGUCUCUUUUCUGCUUAAAUAAAUAAGCAUUUAUUAGGUUACUUUGAUGCAUAAUAUGACAUGAGGUGCCAGCACAAGAAGAUUCUAGUGCAGUCCCUGUAUUCUAGGAGAUCUAAUGCUCCAGUUAGAAAAUACAUAUGGACAUGGAUAACCUUACUAUGAUGUUCUAAUUUCAGAGAUAAGGUAUGCCUAACUUGCUACUGAAACUCAAGUGGGACCUUUGAAUUCCGGAAGACUUUUUGUAGAAGAUUCAGUCUGAGUGUUGAAAGAUGAUCCAGUUCAGUAAAAUUAAAGAAUCCUAGACAAGUGAUUCUCAAACCUAGCUGCACAUUUCAGCUUAAAAAAUAUUAUGUCUAGGUUCCACCGAAAUCCAAUGAAAUCACAAUAUUUGGCACAGAACCUGGGCAUCUUUUUCAGAAGCUUCUCUUGUGGGGGCACCUGGGGCCCAGUCAGUUAAGCAUCUGCCUUCAGCUCAGGUCAUGAUCCCAAGGUUGUGGGAUUAAGCCCUGUGCAGGGCUCCCUGCUCAGUGGGGACUUUGCUUUCCUUCUCCCUUUGCCCCUCCCCCUCGCCCUGUUUAUGCUUGCUCAUUCACUCUCGAUCUCACACUCACACACACUCUCUCUCUCAAAUAAAUAAAAUCUUAAAAGAAGUUUCUCUUGUGAUUUUAAGGUGCAGCCAAAUCUGAGAAUCACAGAUCUGAGAACCAUAGAUCUAGACUGAUACAGGAACAAGAGCAAGACUACAGAGGGGUAAAUGGUAGUAGUCAUGCAGCUAGUAAGCGUCAGAGCCUCCAAUUGUGAACUGUCUCAUUGGAAUGUUCUUAACCACUCCUUGUUGCUGUUUCCAUAGCACCUAGGUAAUGUUAGGAUAUGUUACAUUAUGCUGCAGUUAAACAAACAAUUUAGUGGUUUAGAACAAUAAAAUUUUAUUUUUGUUUUCGUGGGCUUUCAUUGAAUGUCAUUGGGGAGGAGUUCCUUCUUGAUGUCAUUCUUACUCAGGGACACAGGGUUGUGAAGCUUUCACUAUUUAGAGCCAGUUGCUCUGUCAGGGGAAGGGAGAGUAAUGAAUUGUAUACAAAUUUAUAUAGACUUCCACCUACAGACCCAUGACACUUCUGCCCACAGGCACUGGCCAAAUCAAGUGCCCAUAUCUAACAUCAUGAGGGUGGGCAUGCUAUUCAACCAUAGGCCUGGAAGAUAACUGGGAUAUCUAUAAAAAUGACUAUCACUAAGCUAUAUGAUAUCAAAUUGAAUUCAAUUGCCAAAGGCGGCCAAUUACAUUUAUCUGAGGCUCCACAGUAUAAUAUGACCUGGAAAUCGUGAUUUCUUAAUAUUUGAGCCAACUAGGAAGGAUAUUCCCAAGGAAGUUGAAUGAUGCACUUUUUUAUUUUUACAUCUAAUUCUUCCACUUUCAAUUUCUUAAUCCAAGUUUUGGCCUUACCAGAAAAACAAGAGUUGGGUUUCCAAGAUUUCAGCACUUUCCAUAUUAUUCAGAUGGAAACUCUCUUUCAUCUUUAGAGGGUAAGAUCCUUGUAACAAUGACUUCUUGAAUCAGCCAGAAUAUGUAUACACCCAGGCACUAUUUCUCCUUUUCUAUUUGUGAGGAUGACUUCGGGCCAAUUGACUCACGCCAGCUUCCUCCUAUCUUUGUUUCCACAGCUUAGAAGUCAAAACAAUAUCUUCCUAAUCCUUUAUGAUUUCAAAGGGCUUGCCCAUAAAUGGUCUCAUUUAAUCCCCAAAUAAACUUUAUGGUGAAGAGAUUAUGCAAUCCUAUUUUACAGAUGAAGAAAUUGAGAUUCAGAGAGGUGAGACAAGGUCUCAUGGAGAUUUCUGAAAUAUUUGCCUCUUCUGAUAGCUAAUAGUCUUCUUUCUUAUC
Molecule: long non-coding RNA, 5076 nt
Filed under: Canis lupus familiaris (dog)
Lineage: Eukaryota; Metazoa; Chordata; Mammalia; Carnivora; Canidae
Description: lncRNA (ENSCAFG00030009755.1)
Source: RNAcentral